RNAcentral lists this long non-coding RNA (265 nucleotides) under Elaeis guineensis (African oil palm). RNAcentral describes it as "long non-coding RNA (EGUI_LNC017829)". Lineage: Eukaryota; Viridiplantae; Streptophyta; Magnoliopsida; Arecales; Arecaceae. The record is from RNAcentral.
AAAUCUGAAAAACAAUAAUUUUUUUCAAAAACGAAUGAUAUUCAUUUUUUCUAUUCAAUGAUUCAAGAUACAAGUAACAGGACAAUCAUAAUAAAAAAUUUCUUCACAUUGAUUGAUAAUCUGAGCAUGGAUAACAGACAAUCAUCUGGAUUAUUGAAAAAGUAAGUCGAAUGACAAGUUAAAAUAAUCAAUCUUAGGUGGUCUUCUUUACCACCAUGGUGGUGGUGGUGUUGGUGGUAUUGUGGCCAAUCCUCAAGUGCGUUUG